This is a long non-coding RNA of Triticum dicoccoides, 1585 nucleotides long. RefSeq lists it as uncharacterized. NCBI's taxonomy places the organism in Eukaryota, Viridiplantae, Streptophyta, Magnoliopsida, Poales, Poaceae. The record is from RefSeq and is a predicted model, not a curated record. The transcript has 5 exons.
AGCGAACGCGCCGCCUCAUCAUAGAUCUCCACCGCCGCCGCCUGGGCUCAAUGCUGUCACUGCCGCUGGACUCGACACCACCCCCGCCGCCUUGACUGGACCGGCGACCUCUGUCCCCAGCAUCCUCUCCUCCAGACGCCAGGCGCCUGAUUAUCUCACCAGGAACACAUGAUUUGAAUAUUGGCAGCAAACUACAAUGGCAGCUAAUUUAGGGUGUGUAAGAUACAAUGUCGAUGCCAUCUCGGCGCCCAGUGGAAACCUGUUUCUAGCUCUGCAUGUCGUUCAUGAUCAGGGACCCGAUUGAAUAAUGUAAAAAGCCUGAAAGGCCUACGGUGGACAUUGUCAUUACCUGAAGAUAGCUGACUGAAUACUGUGACAUCUCUUGGACAUCAAACCGUGGGUGCAUGCUUUUGUGGAAUCUCGUGGAAAUUUACUAGGUGUACUGUACUCAGUUUUUGCAAGCUCUCCCCAGAUUUACAAUGAGUCUGCUGUGGGUGGCUCACAGAACUUGUGUUCGGCUGCUCACUUGACUGAAUACUUGCGCUGCUGCUGCUUUCUACCCAAUACCCAUGAAUGAUUGCUGCUUGGCUACUUGUUGUUCCCAGCCAAUUAGCAAUUUCAGAAUUAAAUUAAUUGGGCAUGCAAUUGAUUUAGCGCAAAUCAAUGUUGUAUCUGUCUUUCUAGAUCGUCUAGUGAUAAUAAUCUGGGACGGAUUCGGUCUAGCCUAGCACAUAUAUUUCAGGAAAGUAAGUAUCACAGAUUCAGCGUAGCCUAGCACAUAUCUUUCAAGUAGGCAAGUAUCACAGAUUCAGGCUAGCCCAUGCAUACCUAUCAGAAAGUUUGUAUCAUUACUUUGAGUUCUGUUGAUGAGUUUACUCUUCUACUCGAUAUACUUAUGCGCUCAUGUCAUUCCAUGAAUUAAUGCAGAGGCAAUGUUGGAGAAGAUGGCGUCCUGGAUUGGAUAGCAGAGAUUGUGCAGAGCACUAUGGAUAUCUACUUUACUGACAGGGAAUUUAGGCAUAAUACAUAGUGCUUUUCCUGAAUGUUUGCGGGGAGCUCAGUUAGUGUCGAUGCCUCAAGGGUUUAUGAAUAACAGUUCCAUGUUGCUUAAAGGCAUUGUAAUGUUGGCUACUAGUUUCCAGGUAUAUGUUUAUGUAGUCAUAUGGACGCCUCAUUGAUAAUUCCUAUAGAAUGUUUAUAUUCUUUAUAACUUUGUCAUGGAUGAACCUAUUCUGGAUAAUGAGGAGUUAGCAAGGGAGGUUUCUGAUUGUAGAGAAUUGGUGACGCUUUUGCUUCAGGAUACUUAAUUAUAUGGCCUUGAGCUUUUAUUCAAAAGAAGGAUAAUUGAGUUGCAGCUGAAUUCUUCGGUUGGAUCAAGCAGCGAAGAAGAUUUUACUUAGCAAUACCUGCAGUUUACAUUGACAGAUUGAAAAAUGUAAUAUCAUUCACAAGAUUUUUUUCUUUGGUUGAAUUGAUGCAACUGCUAUGGUGUAAUAUUCUCCAUAGUUGUGUUGUCUAUAGUCAAAUUGAUAUGAAUGAUAUUCUGUUGCACCAAUAAUAUUGGUAUUUGUUUAUUGUAAUGCAU